AGCAGCCGCGGUAAUUCCAGCUCCAAUAGCGUAUAUUAAAGUUGCUGCAGUUAAAAAGCUCGUAGUUGAAUUUCGGGACCAAUAUGUCGGUCGUGCUUAGGUACGUACUGGCAUCGUUGGUUUCUCCUUUCUGAAGAACCAUGAUGUCAUUUAUUUGGUGUCGUGGGGAAUCAGGACUGUUACUUUGAAAAAAUUAGAGUGUUUAAAGCAGGCUCACGCUUGAAUACAUUAGCAUGGAAUAAUGAAAUAGGACGUUUGAUUCUAUUUUGUUGGUUUCUAGGAUCGACGUAAUGAUUAAUAGGGAUAGUUGGGGGCAUUAGUAUUCAAUUGUCAGAGGUGAAAUUCUUGGAUUUAUUGAAGACUAACUACUGCGAAAGCAUUUGCCAAGGAUGUUUUCAUUAAUCAAGAACGAAAGUUAGGGGAUCGAAGACGAUCAGAUACCGUCGUAGU
Molecule: ribosomal RNA, 450 nt
Filed under: uncultured Glomeromycotina
Lineage: Eukaryota; Fungi; Glomeromycota
Description: SSU rRNA
Rfam family: Eukaryotic small subunit ribosomal RNA
Source: RNAcentral